GGACCUGCCCAGUGAUGUAAUACAUUUAACGGCCGCAGUACCCUGACUGUGCAAAGGUAGCAUAAUCAUUUGCCCUAUAAUUAAGGGCUAGUAUGAAUGGUUUGACAAGAACAUGACUGUCUCUUGUGGGAUAAUUAAAAAUUAAAUUUUAGGUGAAGAUGCCUAAAUAUAACUAAAAGACGAGAAGACCCUGUUGAGCUUUAAAAACUCUAAGGAAAUCUAAAAGGUUUUUUUGGUUGGGGCGACCUAAGAACAUAUAAAACUUCUUUUAUUAUUUGAGACAUAUAGUUAUGAUCCAAUAAAAUUGAUUAAUAAAAUAAGCUACCACAGGGAUAAC
Molecule: ribosomal RNA, 337 nt
Filed under: Rissoa lia
Lineage: Eukaryota; Metazoa; Mollusca; Gastropoda; Littorinimorpha; Rissoidae
Description: partial 16S ribosomal RNA
Rfam family: Bacterial large subunit ribosomal RNA
Source: RNAcentral